RNAcentral lists this ribosomal RNA (467 nucleotides) under uncultured bacterium. RNAcentral's name for it is "bacterial SSU rRNA". It matches the Rfam family "Bacterial small subunit ribosomal RNA", at positions 355 to 825 of the family's 1533-position model. The record is from RNAcentral.
UGAGGAAUAUUGGACAAUGGGCGCAAGCCUGAUCCAGCCAUGCCGCGUGCAGGAUGACGGUCCUAUGGAUUGUAAACUGCUUUUGUACAGGAAGAAACAGUUCUACGUGUAGAACCUUGACGGUACUGUAAGAAUAAGGAUCGGCUAACUCCGUGCCAGCAGCCGCGGUAAUACGGAGGAUCCAAGCGUUAUCCGGAAUCAUUGGGUUUAAAGGGUCCGUAGGCGGUUAGAUAAGUCAGUGGUGAAAGCCCAUCGCUCAACGGUGGAACGGCCAUUGAUACUGUCUGACUUGAAUUAUUAGGAAGUAACUAGAAUAUGUAGUGUAGCGGUGAAAUGCUUAGAGAUUACAUGGAAUACCAAUUGCGAAGGCAGGUUACUACUAAUGGAUUGACGCUGAUGGACGAAAGCGUGGGUAGCGAACAGGAUUAGAUACCCCGGUAGUCCCUGAGCGGGCUGGCAAGGCGCAU